UCUCUGUGGGGUCCAUGUUUCAAGCUGGUGGUGCCUCACUGGUCCAAGUGUGGAAGAUAACUCUUUUUAGUUUCCUUUUAGAAUGGUUAUGGUGGCAUCUUACUGAAUCCUCCUUAGGAAUGCUUUGGAUUCCUAAGGACUUCUUAGGGUUCUUCCACUAUGAAGGUUCUGGUGGACAAUUCCGGGGUAGGAACACAUGGCUCCUCAGAAGAUCCCUAGAGGAUCCGUGCUCCAGUUCUUCACCAAGGAUCCUGGGCAUUCUUCCUGUGAGGGAAAGAAGGAAUCAUGUCACUGACGAAGAUAUUUCCAAUGUGAGCCACCAGUAGGACACAUUGACAAACCCUAAGGAAUUCUACUAGGAAAAGAACACACAUUCAAAUUUCUUUUAUGGAAAAGCUUUUGCCAAUGUGGAAGAGGUGAAGCAAAAUAUGGCAGAAGCACUAAAAGGCAUCAAAAUUGAUGAAUUCAAAAACUGAUUUGAACAGUGGUAAAACAUCUCGACAGGUGCUGCCCAACAGCAGAACCACCCAGAAGCCAAUGACAAAUGAGUCUGUCCACGCAGCCCACAUAGGUCAUCUUUCCAGGGCAGAGCAAGCAGGAGGAUGGAGCUGAAGGGGCAAACUGAAGAUAAGCAGUAUGUCCGGGGAGUCUACUUUGAUCUCUGUAGCUUGGUUUGGUUAAGUCUUAUUUAUUCUCCAGUGCUCAAAGGACCUUACAAGUAAGUCAAGUAAGGCCAGUCAUUAUUCCAGAAUAAAGAAUGCCUCAAAUAUCACGCUUGAGAUUUCUACGUGAGAUUCCUCUUCACGUUUUGAAUGCUCUUGGAAAGCAGAUGGUUAGCUGACUAACUACACAAUUCAUGGGGUGUAAUUGCCUGGUUGUGAAAAACAUUAUGCAGCCGCAGCUGGAAAGUGUACGGAAAGAAAGAGCAGGUGGGAAAAUAGUGUUCUUUGCAACAACGACCAGUUACUGCAUUUGAAGUGUGUAAAUUUGUGUUUUUCAGAGUAGUUAAUGCCAGCUUGGAUUUAUAUAGCAUACUAUCUUCCAAACCGAUCACAGAUUUUUUUUCAUACUUUGUCUCAUUUAUCUUCACUAUAUGAUUCUAUAAAAGCAAUUGGCCAUCUUAGAAUUCUUAUUACCAAUGGGGCAACUAAAGUAGAAUAAAUUAACUACUGGCCUCGAAUCAUGCAUUUAAUUAGACCUGUGUCUUAGCUGUGAAACCGAGCUAUGCUUUGCAUAAUUUAAUGAUCCAAGAAGGUAGAUGUCUUCUUCCAAUGGUGGAAUUAUAUAUAAAUAUAUUUAUUAUAUGGUAUAUUCAUACAUAUUUUAUAGAUUCAUAUAUAGAAGGCAAUCUUGGCAUUUAUAUUAAAGUUGAAGUGAUCUCUGGUAGUAUGUCAAAUAAGAAAUAGUAAUAGUGUUUAUUGAGUGACUACCACAUGUCAGGCUUUUUUAUUGGUGCUUUAUUGUUAUAAUAUAUUUGUUCAUACAUGAUAUAUAUUUUAUAUACACACAUACAUAUACAUAUGUACACUUUUAUAUAAACACACAUAUACAAACUCUAUGUAUGUAUGCACAUUGAUACAUGCAUACAUAUGCAUUAUAUACUUUUUAUUUCUUAUUUAAGUGCAGUGCAGGGGACACAUUAUUUCUGAAUAAAAGACUUAAGAAGAGGAAGUUAUAUUUAGCCUGAUGUUCUGAAUUAACACAGAUACAGUCUACUGUCUACUGUUUAGGUGAGAUUUCUUUAAUUAUAACGAUAGUUACUGUAGUGGUCCACCAUUAUGGUCAGUUGACAUGUUCGUCUGACAUUCAGUUUGUAACAGUAUUUGAAUUGAUUUUGUAUGUUUUUGUCUUAGAUGCCUUAAUUCUUGCUUUUAUGUUUACAAAACUGAUCUUGCUUUUAUACUUUCCUUGCAGGUACACCAACUAUAAUUUUUCUAAAUUACAGUUCACAUUUAAUAUUAUCUUAGCUUCAGGUGUAGAGGCAAGUGGUUUUACAUUUAUAUAACUUAUGAAGGGAUCCUUCUGAUAAGGCGAGUGCCCAGCUGACAGCAUACACAGUUAUUACAGUAUUAAUGACUAUAUUCCACAUGAUGCCCCUUGUAUCCCUAUUCUAUAACUACCAGUCUGUCCUAAUUAACCUCUUCAUCCUUUUCACCCGUUUCCCCAAACUUCCACCCUUCUGGCAACCGUCACCUGCUUUCUGCCUCUGUGAGUCUCUUUCUGUUUUGUUUGUUCAUUUAUUUUGUUCUUUCAUUUAUACAUAUAAGUGAAAUCAUAUGGUAUUGGUCUUUUAUGGGACAUUCUUCACAUUAGGUAAUUCUUGACUCUGGUUGGCAAUCUUGACAUUUAGGUUCAAGUGAAAGUGACUCUCUGGAAGGACAUCAAAUAAGAAAUAAUAAUACAGGAACUAGUAUAAAG
Long non-coding RNA from Artibeus jamaicensis (Jamaican fruit-eating bat), 2418 nucleotides. RefSeq lists it as uncharacterized. The transcript is spliced from 6 exons. The record is from RefSeq and is a predicted model, not a curated record. Lineage: Eukaryota; Metazoa; Chordata; Mammalia; Chiroptera; Phyllostomidae.